RNAcentral lists this ribosomal RNA (376 nucleotides) under uncultured bacterium. RNAcentral describes it as "bacterial SSU rRNA". It matches the Rfam family "Bacterial small subunit ribosomal RNA", at positions 524 to 898 of the family's 1533-position model. The record is from RNAcentral.
UACGGAGGAUGCAAGCGUUAUUCGGAAUUAUUGGGCGUAAAGGGCGCGUAGGCGGUUUUUUAAGUCAGAUGUGAAAGCCCGGGGCUUAACUUCGGAAGUGCAUUUGAUACUGGGAAACUUGAGUAUGGGAGAGGGAAGUGGAAUUCCUGGUGUAGAGGUGAAAUUCGUAGAUAUCAGGAGGAACACCGGUGGCGAAGGCGACUUCCUGGACCAAUACUGACGCUGAGGCGCGAAGGCGUGGGGAGCAAACAGGAUUAGAUACCCUGGUAGUCCACGCAGUAAACGGUGAUCACUAGGUGUAGCGGGUAUUGACCCCUGCUGUGCCGAAGUUAACGCAUUAAGUGAUCCGCCUGGGGAGUACGGCCGCAAGGUUAAA